Molecule: long non-coding RNA, 2888 nt
Organism: Cephus cinctus (wheat stem sawfly)
Lineage: Eukaryota; Metazoa; Arthropoda; Insecta; Hymenoptera; Cephidae
Exons: 2
Source: RefSeq, a predicted model, not a curated record
UGACGUAAAUUUGUUAGUGCAGUAAAAUACGGUGUUAAGUAUCAACAAAUUUUCUUCUCUAAUAUUAGCAUUACGAUCAUUGUGUUAAAGAUAAUGUAUUUUGUUUCUAAUGUAAUUGACAUCGGUAUCUCAUAAAUUUAAGAGGGGGUAUUCUAAUCUAGAAAUAAAUUUGGGUGGUAAUUGUUGGGAUUUUUGUUGGCAAAAUACCAUUUUGAUGUAAUUGAUAGUAUAAAAUUAUUCAGCCUUCUCGAAGAGUCAAGAAGACUUGUUCAAUAAUUUAUACUAAUUUACAAGCACAAUGAGACCGGCCUUCACCCUUAACUGAAGUGUACUUGCUUUAACGUGUUCUUUUACGGCGUCUCGCUUACUUCGAACCUCUAUAACUUCGUCGAUUGUAUGUACAAAUAUCGCUAAAAUAUUUUGGAGAUUAAAUUCAUUGCGAGCCCCAAUAGUUUAAGAAAAUAAAAACAAGAAAUCAAUUUGUUUAAACUUGCGAGCUAUAAUACCGCUUGAUAUAUUUUAUAGUGAGGAUUUUACCCAUUCUUUUUUAAUUCGUUUUAAUAACCUUUGUUGAAUUUCAUUCUAUUCACUCAUACUUCGAACCUCCCUGAUCCGCUCGUUCACAAUUUUUUCAAAUUGAUAGCUGUCUAUAUCUUUAACAAUAUGUAGAUAUACGUAUAUUCGGAUAAUUUAUCAAUUUGCGGCCAUGAAUUAGCUAAUUUACGCUUUAAAUAUUAUAUAUGGGUAAAAAAUUAGACAAAUUUUGGAUUAAAGUGGUUCGAUAAAAAAUUUCCGAAUUUAAAUACAAAUCUCUAUUUAAUUUUAUAAAAUCCUGAAGUAAAGAUAAAAAUACAAUGAAGAAUAACAUUUCUUAAUUUUAAUCUAAUGGUUACAAAUAAUUGUUUCAGUAAACUAUUACCAAUGCUUUAAAAUAUUUACCGAAAAAAGUUUACAUGGUGGUUAUAUUUGAAUUUAAUUUAAUUAAAAGAAAAAGAAAUGUGCAUUAUGAAUCAGAAAAGAUGCCCUUUGUAGCAUCGUGUGUUUCUGUCCAGCAAUUGAUCGGUGAUUCUGAAUUUGAAGUCAAAGUAUCAAAAUUCAGAAUAGCUGACUAGUUAUAGCAGCUCAAAGUUCGAAUAUUUUUUAAUUUGUAUAAAUUCCUAUAUCAAUUAUACAAUUCAAAGGGUUUCUACCAAUAAGUACACGAGCGAAGGUUGGCGGCACUACGAUCGUUAUUCAUAAGUUAUGGAGAUAAAGAGUUUUUAGUGGUUUCCAAUGUAAUUUCUCAACAAUUUUACUAAGAAUCUUGAAAAGCCACAAUCACUGAAAGAGGCAAAUAUGGGACUACACUACUCGGACAAUAAGACUUAAUCAGUGUAGUAGAGUAUUAAAAAUUCCUAAGCUCUGAUGAGAUAUAUAUUAAUAAGAAAAAUAAAAAUGAUAGAGUCGACACUAAGUUUUUUGAUAGGAAUCUUAUGCUUCCUUUCAAGAUAGAAAAGUUAUUUGCUAAUUAUAUAAGUGUUAAAAGAGAUAGUAAAACCUAGAAAGAGAAGAUCCAAUAUCAUGAAUCAGAUCUGGAUUUACAGUGAGUGAAAGGAAGAGGGAAGACAAACCAGAGUAAAAAUGGGAUGAAAGGAAGAGGUAGAUGAAAGGGGAUGGGAAUUCUGAAAAAGCAAGAGCAAAGUAGAGAGGUCACUGAAGAGGUCUAGACAGGGGAAGGAGGUAAAAAGGAAUAUUUUGAGGAAAAGAGAAAGCACAAAAGGAUAUGCGAAAAGAACAAAAAGGAAAAAAACAAAAAGAGAAUACGAGAAGAUAUUAGAAAUUAUGGAUGAGAGUGAAGUAUGGAAAUAUAUGAGGAAGGAGAAAAAGCGAAAGUCAAGCUUACUGUUUUUUUUAGUUCAGACGAUUCUAGCAGAUAUCGUGCAAUCCCGUUCUCUUAUUACUGGUGCAGAUACCGCCACUUACAUAGUGGAGUGGCGAAAAGAAAUUUUUAAUGUAUUAUUUCGAAAUUUAAUAAUGUAGGAAUAAAACGUAAAAAAUUUGUUUAUUGUAUUUAUUGUAGUCUUCUUUAAAUAAAAUCUUUAAAAUGAGGUAUUUUGCGAGCAUUUUAACCCGAAUCACCCAUUAAAGGUUUGCCUUAUAUUACUAUUUGAACAGCAUUGUUGGAGAGUUGUCCUCCCCGUUUGAAAAGGAAAUUUAUACCCUUCGGUGGUGUUCAAAUAUUAGAUAGAAGAGGACCAGUCGUGGGAUUGAUAUUACAGCGCCUGUGAAGAUUUUAAGGAACCUGUCAUUCGAAAUUAGGUCAAAAAAUGUAUAUGAGCUGUGGUCCUUGUAAUAUGUAGCUAGAGUGUUUCAACAGUAGUUAUUAUAAUUGCUAAAUUUAAACUGUUCUGAAAAUGUAAAAUUAAUUAGUAAUUGGGCCAUUAAACGGACGUCGUAGUAUAAAGUUAUUAUUAUUAUGCUAUUAUAAAGUUAUAUGGCAACUUGUUGGUUUCUCGCAAAUUUGGUUGCACGAAUGCACUUUUUACCACCUGAAUUAUUGAUAGGUCAUUUAGUUGACUAAAUCUUACAUAAGCACAGUACACCAAGAGUUGGUUAUCGAAUAGUAGAAUUUUUUUAAAUAUGCAUAUGUAUAUAUGUACAUUCUACGAAAAUUACACGGUAAUAUUUUGCACAUCACUUUUUGCGGCAGUUUCUUAUUCUGACUUAUUUUAGUUCCCAUUAGAGUCCUGGCAAGAAAUUUUGUUGAAUCCUUUAAAAUUUAUUAUAGGAAAUAGUUUAUGUCAAUGGAAUCUGUGCCUAAAAGUCAGAAACUGUCUUCGAGAUGUUAUAAAGUCUUUGGAUACCGUAUAGACUAAGGAAUGUGAAGUAAAUCAUCUUUUCCCUUUUAA